This 1634-nucleotide long non-coding RNA is filed under the name Sus scrofa (pig). Its description in RNAcentral is "lncRNA (ENSSSCG00070018606.1)". Lineage: Eukaryota; Metazoa; Chordata; Mammalia; Artiodactyla; Suidae. The record is from RNAcentral.
GGGAGGGGCGUGGCCUAGGUCGGUGGGCGGGGCCUCAGUCUUGACGGAGCUAGGGGUCCAUGAGCACCCGGAGCCGCAGAGGCAGGACAAAAGUUGUGAGUAUCCAAAGCUCGGGCAGCUGGCAGCAGUGGAGCCGCCGGGGCGACGACCACCAUGCGGAGACCGGCGCGACCUUUUGAGACGCAGCUGGACCCGCCCAGUUCGGCGCCCGGGUCAUUCCAGGGUCUGGGGCAGCGGCGGGGGCCGCGGGCGGAUGGCGUGAACCCAACCGCUGCAGGAUGCCCUCCAAACACAGGGCCCCGGGGCUGUGCGCUGCUGAGCCGAGCCAUAGAAGACCAAGAAGGCCACUGACAUCAUAGACAGAUUGCUCUUACUGUGAACUCUCUUCCUGUGACAUGUCACAUCCUCAGAGCAGAGGUCGCCCUCCUGGAAGAAACCAAUGUUUUGUGAGGCAUUCAAAUUCACAAUCCAGAGUUCUUUCUAUGAAGGAAGAAGAGAUGAGGGAGAGAGAGAGUAAAGAUGCCCAUGCAGCCUCAGGUCCUAAGAGCAUCAUCCAACAAGAUGAACAGGAUCCGCCCCUCCAACGCCUUCCUGGGACAGUCCAGCAGGACAGCAGGUGUGUGAGGUGCCUGCAUCAGUAACACCUUUCAUGUAACUGAACCAAGUUCACUUGCCUGACAUGCAGCAAGCCAAGGGCUGAGACACCCAUGUGUUGCAGCAGAGAGAAGGUUUAUUCACAAGGCAUUCACGCAAGGAGGCAGAUCACAAAUUCGCAUCCCAGAAGGUGAGAGGCUCGGGAUAUUUACGGGGAUAAAGAAGCAGGGUGGUCUGAGGCCCAGGGAAUGUGUGCAAAGGUGACUGGAGGUAAGAAAAAGGUCAAGUAGGGAGUUCCUGUUGUGGCUCAGUGCAUCAGGAACUCAACAUAGGGUCCACGAGGAUAUGGGUUUGAUCCCUGGAUUUGAUCCUUGUGGGUUAAGGAUCUGGCAUUGCCAUAAGCUCUGCUGUAGCCUGCAGAUGUAGCUCGGAUCUGGUGUGUUGCCAAGGCUGUGAUGUAGGCCUCAGCUGCAGCUCCGAUUUGACCCCUAGCCUGGGAACCUCCAUAUGCUGCAGGUGUGGCAUAAAGAGAAGGAAAAAAAAAGAAGACAAGAAAAAAAAAGGUAAAGCAAUAGUUUUUCCGUGAAGUCACAACUAAGCUACAGGCUUCUUCAUGGGAGGCAUGUUCAGAAGAUGAGGGCCUAAUCAUGCUCAGAGGAGGGGUUGUGGGUCUCUAAAGUCCAAAGAUCACUGAGGGACAGAGCUGCCUUUAAGUUCUUGAAAAAUAAUUGGGGCGAACUUCUUGUCAUUUAGGAUAAUGGAUGCUUGGAGGACAUGCAAGUUUUUGUGAAAACAAAGCGAGCUUGAUCAGUGAAGGCAGGUUACAACUCAUUAUUUAUUGAGCAAGUUAUUAAGAUUUAAUGGGAGUUCCCCUAGUGGCUCAGUGGUAAUGAACCCAACUAGUAUCCAUGAGGACUCGGGUUCAAUCCCUGGCUUGCUCAGUGGAUUAAGGAUCCAGCAUUGCCAUGAGCUGUGGUGUAGGUUAUAGGCAUGGCUUAGAUCUGGUGUUUCUGUGGCUGUGGCUACAGCUCUGAUUUGAC